This 301-nucleotide ribosomal RNA is filed under the name uncultured bacterium. Its description in RNAcentral is "partial 16S ribosomal RNA". It matches the Rfam family "Bacterial small subunit ribosomal RNA", at positions 509 to 807 of the family's 1533-position model. The record is from RNAcentral.
CAGCAGCCACGGGAAUACGAGGGGGGCAAGCGUUGUUCGGAAUUAUUGGGCGUAAAGGGUGCGUAGGCGGCUUGACAAGUCUUGUGUGAAAUCUAUGGGCUCAACCCAUAGUCUGCACGGGAAACUGUCGGGCUUGAGAAUGGGAGAGGUGAGUGGAAUUUCCGGUGUAGCGGUGAAAUGCGUAGAUAUCGGAAGGAACACCUGUGGCGAAAGCGGCUCACUGGACAAUUACUGACGCUGAUGCACGAAAGCUAGGGGAGCAAACAGGAUUAGAUACCCGCGUAGUCCCUGUCUCUUAUAC